Molecule: ribosomal RNA, 1354 nt
Filed under: uncultured bacterium
Lineage: Bacteria
Description: bacterial SSU rRNA
Rfam family: Bacterial small subunit ribosomal RNA
Source: RNAcentral
CCUGGCUCAGGACGAACGCUGGCGGCACGCUUAACACAUGCAAGUCGAACGAGAGAAGAGAAGCUUGCUUUUCUGAUCUAGUGGCGGACGGGUGAGUAACACGUGAGCAAUCUGCCUUUCAGAGGGGGAUACCGAUUGGAAACGAUCGUUAAUACCGCAUAACAUAAUUGAACCGCAUGAUUUGAUUAUCAAAGAUUUAUCGCUGAAAGAUGAGCUCGCGUCUGAUUAGCUAGUUGGUAAGGUAACGGCUUACCAAGGCGACGAUCAGUAGCCGGACUGAGAGGUUGAUCGGCCACAUUGGGACUGAGACACGGCCCAGACUCCUACGGGAGGCAGCAGUGGGGAAUAUUGCACAAUGGAGGAAACUCUGAUGCAGCGAUGCCGCGUGAGGGAAGAAGGUUUUAGGAUUGUAAACCUCUGUCUUCAGGGACGAAAAAUGACGGUACCUGAGGAGGAAGCUCCGGCUAACUACGUGCCAGCAGCCGCGGUAAUACGUAGGGAGCGAGCGUUGUCCGGAAUUACUGGGUGUAAAGGGAGCGUAGGCGGGAUCGCAAGUCAGAUGUGAAAACUAUGGGCUUAACCCAUAAACUGCAUUUGAAACUGUGGUUCUUGAGUGAAGUAGAGGUAAGCGGAAUUCCUAGUGUAGCGGUGAAAUGCGUAGAUAUUAGGAGGAACAUCAGUGGCGAAGGCGGCUUACUGGGCUUUACUGACGCUGAGGCUCGAAAGCGUGGGGAGCAAACAGGAUUAGAUACCCUGGUAGUCCACGCCGUAAACGAUGAUACUAGGUGUGGGGGACUGACCCUUUCCGUGCCGCAGCAAACGCAAUAAGUAAUCCACCUGGGGAGUACGACCGCAAGGUUGAAACUCAAAGGAAUUGACGGGGGCCCGCACAAGCAGUGGAGUAUGUGGAUUAAUUCGAAGCAACGCGAAGAACCUUACCAGGUCUUGACAUCGUAUGCAUAGCUCAGAGAUGAGUGAAAUCUCUUCGGAGACAUAUAGACAGGUGGUGCAUGGUUGUCGUCAGCUCGUGUCGUGAGAUGUUGGGUUAAGUCCCGCAACGAGCGCAACCCUUACUGUUAGUUGCUACGCAAGAGCACUCUAGCAGGACUGCCGUCGACAAAACGGAGGAAGGUGGGGAUGACGUCAAAUCAUCAUGCCCCUUAUGACCUGGGCCUCACACGUACUACAAUGGCUGUCAACAGAGGGAAGCAAAGCCGCGAGGUGGAGCGAACCCCUAAAAGCAGUCUUAGUUCGGAUUGUAGGCUGCAACCCGCCUACAUGAAGUCGGAAUUGCUAGUAAUCGCAGAUCAGCAUGCUGCGGUGAAUACGUUCCCGGGCCUUGUACACACCGCCC